GUGCCAGCAGCCGCGGUAAUACGUAGGUGGCAAGCGUUGUCCGGAAUUAUUGGGCGUAAAGCGCGCGCAGGCGGUCCCUUAAGUCUGAUGUGAAAGCCCACGGCUCAACCGUGGAGGGUCAUUGGAAACUGGGGGACUUGAGUGCAGAAGAGGAAAGUGGAAUUCCACGUGUAGCGGUGAAAUGCGUAGAGAUGUGGAGGAACACCAGUGGCGAAGGCGACUUUCUGGUCUGUAACUGACGCUGAGGCGCGAAAGCGUGGGGAGCAAACAGGAUUAGAUACCCUGGUAGUCC
Molecule: ribosomal RNA, 292 nt
Filed under: uncultured microorganism
Description: partial 16S ribosomal RNA
Rfam family: Bacterial small subunit ribosomal RNA
Source: RNAcentral